UUCUUUCUAAACACACUUUCCCUCUUCCAAUAACAGUUUGAAAUCCAAUAGCAGCAGCAGAAAUGUUGUAGGAAAUGAGAAGACAGCAAUAUUUCGGCAUAUACUAAUUUGUAUAAUUUAAAUUGUCUGAAAUGACAGUGCAUUUCAAAUAGCUAAGAGUGUUAAUGACCUUUUAAUGAUGCCUCUGCAGGAAGUUGGAAUUCAGUGGUUCUCUAUUUUGAGUUGCAUGAUGAUUUUGUAUAUUCUGUCAAUCCAAUGAGUGACAUUGAUUAUAAAUUACUAUCUGAGAAAGAUUACUUAUAUCUUUUAUCACUUGUAAAUCCAAUUAGCUCAUGGUUUUUGUUUUUUUGUAUUUUUUACAGGCUCUAAAAUGGGCAGUCCUUUCAAGUGAUCUUGUGCUGAAAUCUCACUAAAGAAAUCCAGUUUCAUUGUCAUUAAAGAUAUUUUACAGUAAAAGGAAGGGCAUACGCUUUUGGUCAAAGCCCAAGUCUUUAGAGGAAGAGUUGGUGACAUGAAACCAAAUCAUAGCAGUAAGUUUAGUCUUUUUAUUUCUUUCCCUCUUCCUCCUUCCAAUGGCAGUUAUAAGAUCCAAUAGUAGCAGCUGAAAUGUAGUAGAGAAAAUAAUUCAAGUGACCUGAAUUGUCAGAAAAUUUCAAAUAAUUGAGAGGGUUAAGAGGACAGUCCCUGGCAAGGGGAGGGGAGGUGAUUUUGAGUUAGCUAUCCUAUGUUAUAUGUACACAAAUGAGGAAACUACCAAAUAACUGUUAGAGCCCUAACUGGUUAAUUUCAGGUUAACUAUGUACAUGGGUAAUUAGCACCAGGUACACCUGUAUGGACUUAUGCUUAUUGCAAUCUUGCAUACAGCAUUUAAUAAUGACACUGCAUAGAUGAGAGUACAUCAAUGUCCAAAGAACACAUUUAUACCAAUAUCAGAAAGAUUUGAAAUUACAGUACAUGAAAA
Molecule: long non-coding RNA, 961 nt
Organism: Penaeus indicus
Lineage: Eukaryota; Metazoa; Arthropoda; Malacostraca; Decapoda; Penaeidae
Exons: 3
Source: RefSeq, a predicted model, not a curated record